AGUCGAGGGGCAGCGGGGAGGCAGCAAUGCCUCCGCCGGCGACCGGCGCACGGGUGAGUAACACGUAUGAAACCUGCCCGGAGCAGGGGGAUAAGCGGAAGAAAUUCCGUCUAAUACCGCGUAACGAGGCGGGGAGGCAUCUCCCCGCUUCCAAAGAUUUAUCGGCUCCGGAUGGUCAUGCGGCGCAUUAGCUAGUUGGCGGGGUAACGGCCCACCAAGGCGACGAUGCGUAGGGGUUCUGAGAGGAAGGCCCCCCACACUGGUACUGAGACACGGACCAGACUCCUACGGGAGGCAGCAGUGAGGAAUAUUGGUCAAUGGCCGGGAGGCUGAACCAGCUAAGUCGCGUGAGGGAUGACGGCCCUACGGGUUGUAAACCUCUUUUGCCGGGGAGCAAGUCCCGCCUCGUGCAGGCGGAUUGAGAGUACCCGGAGAAAAAGCAUCGGCUAACUCCGUGCCAGCAGCCGCGGUAAUACGGAGGAUGCGAGCGUUAUCUGGAUUCAUUGGGUUUAAAGGGUGCGCAGGCGGGCGGUCAAGUCAGCGGUAAAAUCGUGGGGCCCAACCCCAUCCCGCCGUUGAAACUGGCCGUCUUGAGUGGGCGAGAAGUAUGCGGAAUGCGUGGUGUAGCGGUGAAAUGCAUAGAUAUCACGCAGAACUCCGAUUGCGAAGGCAGCAUACCGGCGCCCUACUGACGCUCAUGCACGAAAGCGUGGGUAUCGAACAGGAUUAGAUACCCUGGUAGUCCACGCAGUAAACGAUGAAUACUAAUUGUCCGGGACGAAUGAGUCCUGGGUGAUACAGCGAAAGCGUUAAGUAUUCCACCUGGGGAGUACGCCGGCAACGGUGAAACUCAA
RNAcentral lists this ribosomal RNA (854 nucleotides) under uncultured bacterium. RNAcentral's name for it is "bacterial SSU rRNA". It matches the Rfam family "Bacterial small subunit ribosomal RNA", at positions 60 to 904 of the family's 1533-position model. The record is from RNAcentral.